AAGAUAAAAGCAUAGAGCACUUAGUUUCGACCUAAAAAUUAAUAGUUAAACCUAUUUUAUCUUA
RNAcentral lists this transfer RNA (64 nucleotides) under Carausius sp. RNAcentral's name for it is "tRNA-Arg". It matches the Rfam family "tRNA". From Rfam's summary of the family: Transfer RNA (tRNA) molecules are approximately 80 nucleotides in length. The record is from RNAcentral. Lineage: Eukaryota; Metazoa; Arthropoda; Insecta; Phasmatodea; Lonchodidae.